Long non-coding RNA from Dermacentor silvarum, 316 nucleotides. RefSeq lists it as uncharacterized. NCBI's taxonomy places the organism in Eukaryota, Metazoa, Arthropoda, Arachnida, Ixodida, Ixodidae. The transcript has 3 exons. The record is from RefSeq and is a predicted model, not a curated record.
CCAGUAACAUAGUCUGCCGUAAAAAUUAUACGAAAUACAGGGCACGCAGUCGAAGAUAUUACAGUGCAUUAUAUGCAUAUUUCUACGUUACGAUAGGGUUAUCAGUAUUCGCACAUCUCAUCCUUUGCCUAUUUCGGAAGAUAUAUCAUAUAAACUAACACUGCUUUUCCAACUGUACUGACAAAGAUUGCGCAAAAUUUUGCAAGAAUGGGGAGGCAAAAUCAGUGCAUGCAGCACGUAUACGCAGCAUCUGUUCUUCUGGGGCUACUCGUAUUUCAUAUUGGCCUCGUUUCACCUGGUCAUAGUCGGAAAAAAG